Molecule: non-coding RNA, 122 nt
Organism: Gossypium hirsutum (cotton)
Lineage: Eukaryota; Viridiplantae; Streptophyta; Magnoliopsida; Malvales; Malvaceae
Source: Rfam
AAUAGGAGAAUGACAAAUCAGAUUUUUCCUCCUGAUUUUCAGAUUUUUCUCCUGAAAAAAUUCAAAUCCAAUUAAAAAUGCUAAAAAUGAGGAGAAAAAAUCUAAUUUAUCAUUCUCCUAUU